GGCUCAGAGCGAACGCUAGCGGCGGGCCUAACACAUGCAAGUCGAGCGGGAGGGCAACCUCCAGCGGCGAACGGGUGAGUAACGCGUAGGUUACGUGCCUUCUGGUGGGGAAUAACCGUGGGAAACCAUGGCUAAUACCGCAUAUCGUCCUUCGGGAUGAAAGCCUUCGGGCGCCAGAAGAGCGGCCUGCGUCCCAUUAUUUAGUCCUAGUUGGUGAGGUAACGGCUCACCAAGGGUACGAUGGGUAGCUGGUCUGAGAGGAUGAUCAGCCACAUUGGGACUGAGACACGGCCCAAACUCCUACGGGAGGCAGCAGUGGGGAAUAUUGCGCAAUGGGCGAAAGCCUGACGCAGCCACGCCGCGUGAGUGAUGAAGGCCUUCGGGUUGUAAAGCUCUGUCGGGAGGGAAGACGGGAGAAAUCCCUGACGGUACCUCGCAAGAAAGCACCGGCUAACUCUGUGCCAGCAGCCGCGGUAAUACAGAGGGUGCAAGCGUUGCUCGGAUUUACUGGGCGUAAAGCGUACGCAGACGGCUACGCAGGUCGGGUGUGAAAGCCCCGGGCUCAACCCGGGAAUUGCAUUCGAAACCAUGUGGCUUGAGGAUGGGAGAGGAGAGCGGAAUUCCCGGUGUAGAGGUGAAAUUCGUAGAUAUCGGGAGGAACACCAGUGGCGAAAGCGGCUCUCUGGCCCAUUUCUGACGUUCAGGUACGAAAGCGUGGGGAGCAAACAGGAUUAGAUACCCUGGUAGUCCACGCCGUAAACGAUGCAUGCUGGCUGUCGGAGGUAUUAACCCCUUCGGUAGCGAAGCCAACGCGUUAAGCAUGCCGCCUGGGGAGUACGGCCGCAAGGUUGAAACUCAAAG
Molecule: ribosomal RNA, 861 nt
Filed under: uncultured bacterium
Lineage: Bacteria
Description: bacterial SSU rRNA
Rfam family: Bacterial small subunit ribosomal RNA
Source: RNAcentral